UGCAGAGGAAGGAUUUGGAGGACAAUGACGCCCUUCGGGGUCUCUGUGAAGGUGCUGCAGGUUGUCGUCAGCUCGUGCCGUGAGGUGUCGGCUUAAGUGCCAUAACGAGCGCAACCCCUCUCCUUAGUUGCCAUCAGGUGAAGCUGGGCACUCUGGGGACACUGCCACCGUAAGGUGUGA
This 180-nucleotide ribosomal RNA is filed under the name uncultured bacterium. RNAcentral describes it as "partial 16S ribosomal RNA". It matches the Rfam family "Bacterial small subunit ribosomal RNA", at positions 987 to 1167 of the family's 1533-position model. The record is from RNAcentral.